AUGUUACAAACUAUUGAAUUGAAUCAUACCAUCAGCAGAUCCAUCUCCAGCUUCUGCAUCGUCGUCGUCACCUUUAUCUCCACCCUCCACAUUCUCCUCUUCACCAUCAUCAUCAUCAUCAUCAUCAUCAUCAUCAUCAUCAUCAUCAUCAUCAUCGCUGUCACUAUCAGCUUCAAUUUUAGGCACUGGCAGGGGUAUAAAACUAGAUGCAUUUCUCCUACGAGAACUCGUAAUAAUAUUGCUCAUGUCUAUGCCCUCAAGAUCCUUUGCUCUUUCCUUUCUUUUUCUCACUGCUUUAAUUUCUGUUUAAAAAAUGCAUAA
Molecule: ribosomal RNA, 321 nt
Filed under: Triticum aestivum (bread wheat)
Lineage: Eukaryota; Viridiplantae; Streptophyta; Magnoliopsida; Poales; Poaceae
Description: partial small subunit ribosomal RNA
Source: RNAcentral